AAUGUCAGGGUCAUGGAGGAAAUGUCAGGGUCAAAAUCUCUGAGCUAAGAGAGUUAUGUGUGUUCAAGGAAUUGGAAUCAGUGUGUCUGGAUCAUCCUGAGCAAAGCAAAGAGUAAUCUGACAUGAGGGCGGAAAGGAAAGAAGGGUCAGAUCAUCCACAUCACCAGAAUGUCACAUUCCAGAUAGAAGUUGCUCCUACAGUCUGGAGGUCUAACUGAGAAGACAGAACAGAGCCACCACUGGAGAAGAACUCUACUGGACCAAAACCUUCAUGUAAUUGCAAGCCCUGGAGGAGAGGGAGGGGCACACUGGUGAGGAUAAAUGUGCCGGCCAAGACUCGGAUGUCCUCUGCACAACCUACAGAUGCCUCAGUGACUAAUCUUCAUCUGCAGAUAAUUCAGAAACAGGGCAGAUCCCUCGGAUUUGAAAAUGGGAACUAAACCUCAUCCAUCUUCUCCUGAUGGCUAAACAGGCUAUUAUUAGCAGGCCAGAUGAUUUAAUAGGCCGGGGAUGGAAAGGCACAUGUUGAUAAUUAAACACGCCAGAGUUCCAUUCCAAAGCAAGUGUCCUUUAAUAACAUGACUAAGGGUUGUUUGCUUUUUAAACCCUUCUCUCCCACUUCCAAGACUCUGGAAUGUGUUCAGGCAUCGACGUAAACAUUUCUGAUGGAUAGAAAUGAUGUGUGUCAAACCAAGGCUCAGUUGUUUGGGCAACAUGUUACAUGGGAUUGCUUGUCCUGAGUCAGCUUUAUAAAUUUGUACAUCCAUGAAUUCUAAAAAGAAACUGAUCCACUCCUUCAGCAAAUAAGAAUUGGGGUCUAAUAGAUUGUGGUAGAGUGAUAGCACCGCGUUUCACUGCUACCUCUGCCUGGGGGCUAUUUGACCUUGAGCAAGACAGAGCAAUUUUGGUGACUUAGUUUGAUCAUCUAAAAGUGAAGAAUGCUUAAUUCUAAGGUUCUUUCCAGCACUCAGGUUUGUUCAUUCUACAAAUUUCAUUGUCAAACUGACUCCUCCCAAUUAAAAAUAUGUUUAGAGGGUAGUUGAGUUAAUAGAAUAUGGAUUAUUUUUUGCUUUAAGCACAUGCAUCGAUAUUCUCAGCCUUCUUUAUUUACUA
Non-coding RNA from Vicugna pacos (alpaca), 1113 nucleotides. NCBI's taxonomy places the organism in Eukaryota, Metazoa, Chordata, Mammalia, Artiodactyla, Camelidae. The record is from RefSeq and is a predicted model, not a curated record.